RNAcentral lists this unclassified non-coding RNA (206 nucleotides) under Hevea brasiliensis (rubber tree). Lineage: Eukaryota; Viridiplantae; Streptophyta; Magnoliopsida; Malpighiales; Euphorbiaceae. The record is from RNAcentral.
UGUAAUGCCAAAGGAGAAAUUGGCUGAUUGAGCAUCAGCUGAAGAAGUUGCUUUGUUCCUGGUGGCAUCAGUUAAUUGUUUCCCAUGUUGAACUUUGUUUCCAUUGAUGAUUGCUAUUGCUUCAGCUGAGCGACCUGCACUUUGACUAGCACUCGACUCAGUUUUUCUUCAUUUUCAUGCCCUUCCUUGCUUGUAAUGAAUUGAAG